AUGGGAGACUUUUGGCAGCUGGUGGUUCCCACCUCUUUCAGUUUUCGAUCCCGACUGUAGAGCUUCAUGUUGUUUGGGCUGGUGUCACCUUUGCCAGAUGGCAGCUUCAUGCGUAGAAGAUUUUUUUGAAUAGUAACUCUGCUACUGUCAUUUCAUGGAUUCAGAAAGAGGCCAGACAGCUUGAUGGUCAUCCACUUAUCCAAGAUGUUAGG
RNAcentral lists this long non-coding RNA (212 nucleotides) under Elaeis guineensis (African oil palm). RNAcentral's name for it is "long non-coding RNA (EGUI_LNC071302)". The record is from RNAcentral. Lineage: Eukaryota; Viridiplantae; Streptophyta; Magnoliopsida; Arecales; Arecaceae.